GACGAACGCUGGCGGCGUGCUUAACACAUGCAAGUCGAACGGAAAGGCCCUGCUUUUUCGGGCUGCUCGAGUGGCGAACGGGUGAGUAACACGUGAGUAACCUGCCCUUGACUUUGGGAUAACUUCAGGAAACUGGGGCUAAUACCGGAUAGGAGCUCCCGUUGCAUGGUGGGGGUUGGAAAGUUUCGGCGGUUGGGGAUGGAUUCGCGGCUUAUCAGCUUGUUGGUGGGGUAGUGGCUUACCAAGGCUUUGACGGGUAGCCGGCCUGAGAGGGUGACCGGCGACAUUGGGACUGAGGUACGGCCCAGACUGCUACGGGAGGCAGCAGUGGGAAAUAUUGCACAAUGGGCGGAAGCCGGAUGAAGAAACGCCGCGUGCGGGAAGACGGCCUUCGGGGUGAAAAACGCUUUCGCCUGAGACGAAGCGUGAGUGACGGUAAUGAGUAAAGAAGCACCGGCUAACUACGUG
Molecule: ribosomal RNA, 468 nt
Filed under: uncultured bacterium
Lineage: Bacteria
Description: partial 16S ribosomal RNA
Rfam family: Bacterial small subunit ribosomal RNA
Source: RNAcentral